UACGUAGGUGGCAAGCGUUGUCCGGAUUUACUGGGCGUAAAGGGCGUGCAGGCGGUCUGUUAAGUGCAGGGUGAAAGCUCCCGGCUCAACUGGGAGAGGUCCUUGCAUACUGGCGGACUUGAGGGGGGUAGAGGAAAGUGGAAUUCCCGGUGUAGUGGUGAUAUGCGUAGAUAUCGGGAGGAACACCUGUGGCGAAGGCGGCUUUCUGGGCCCUACCUGACGCUGAGACGCGAAAGCGUGGGGAGCGAACGGG
Molecule: ribosomal RNA, 253 nt
Filed under: uncultured bacterium
Lineage: Bacteria
Description: partial 16S ribosomal RNA
Rfam family: Bacterial small subunit ribosomal RNA
Source: RNAcentral